Molecule: ribosomal RNA, 460 nt
Filed under: uncultured bacterium
Lineage: Bacteria
Description: partial 16S ribosomal RNA
Rfam family: Bacterial small subunit ribosomal RNA
Source: RNAcentral
CCUACGGGAGGCAGCAGUGAGGAAUAUUGGUCAAUGGACGAGAGUCUGAACCAGCCAAGUAGCGUGAAGGAUGACUGCCCUAUGGGUUGUAAACUUCUUUUAUAAAGGAAUAAAACGAGGCACGUGUGCCUUUUUGCAUGUACUUUAUGAAUAAGGAUCGGCUAACUCUGUGCCCGCAGCCGCGGUAAUACGGAGGUUCCGAGCGUUAUCCGGAUUUAUUGGGUUUAAAGGGAGCGUAGAUGGGUUGUUAAGUAAGUUGUGAAAGUUUGCGGCUCAACCGUAAAAUUGCAAUUGAUACUGGCAGUCUUGAGUACAGUGGAGGUAGGCGGAAUUCGUGGUGUAGCGGUGAAAUGAUUAGAUAUCACGAAGAAAACCGAUUGCGAAGGCAGCUUACUAAACUGUGACUGACAUUGAUGCUCGAAAGUGUGGGUAUCAAACAGGAUUAGAUACACCGGUAGUC